GAUGAACGCUGGCGGCGUGCCUAAUACAUGCAAGUCGAGCGAACAGACGAGGAGCUUGCUCCUCUGACGUUAGCGGCGGACGGGUGAGUAACACGUGGAUAACCUACCUAUAAGACUGGGAUAACUUCGGGAAACCGGAGCUAAUACCGGAUAAUAUAUUGAACCGCAUGGUUCAAUAGUGAAAGACGGUUUUGCUGUCACUUAUAGAUGGAUCCGCGCCGCAUUAGCUAGUUGGUAAGGUAACGGCUUACCAAGGCAACGAUGCGUAGCCGACCUGAGAGGGUGAUCGGCCAGACUGGAACUGAGACACGGUCCAGACUCCUACGGGAGGCAGCAGUAGGGAAUCUUCCGCAAUGGGGGAAAGCCUGACGGAGCAACGCCGCGUGAGUGAUGAAGGUCUUCGGACCGUAAAACUCUGUUAUUAGGGAAGAACAAAUGUGUAAGUAACUACGCACGUCUUGACGGUACCUAAUCAGAAAGCCACGGCUAACUACGUG
RNAcentral lists this ribosomal RNA (497 nucleotides) under uncultured bacterium. RNAcentral describes it as "partial 16S ribosomal RNA". It matches the Rfam family "Bacterial small subunit ribosomal RNA", at positions 28 to 507 of the family's 1533-position model. The record is from RNAcentral.